RNAcentral lists this ribosomal RNA (326 nucleotides) under Chaetomium sp. RNAcentral's name for it is "partial large subunit ribosomal RNA". It matches the Rfam family "Eukaryotic large subunit ribosomal RNA", at positions 330 to 679 of the family's 3401-position model. Lineage: Eukaryota; Fungi; Ascomycota; Sordariomycetes; Sordariales; Chaetomiaceae. The record is from RNAcentral.
UAGACCGAUAGCGAACAAGUAGAGUGAUCGAAAGAUGAAAAGCACUUUGAAAAGAGGGUUAAAUAGCACGUGAAAUUGUUGAAAGGGAAGCGCUUGUGACCAGACUUGCGCCGGGCGGAUCAUCCGGUGUUCUCACCGGUGCACUCCGCCCGGCUCAGGCCAGCAUCGGUUCUCGCGGGGGGAUAAAGGUCCUGGGAACGUAGCUCCUCCGGGAGUGUUAUAGCCCGGGGCGUAAUGCCCUCGCGGGGACCGAGGUUCGCGCAUCUGCAAGGAUGCUGGCGUAAUGGUCAUCAGCGACCCGUCUUGAAACACGGACCAAGACCGUG